This is an RNA transcript of Ruditapes philippinarum (Manila clam), 3044 nucleotides long. RefSeq lists it as uncharacterized. The transcript is spliced from 7 exons. NCBI's taxonomy places the organism in Eukaryota, Metazoa, Mollusca, Bivalvia, Venerida, Veneridae. The record is from RefSeq and is a predicted model, not a curated record.
GUGUAUUUAAACUGCAUAUUUAAACAAGUUGAUAAAAAGAGAUUACUACUGUUAUCGUCAGUAAGGAACAUGAUGCCUGGCCAGUAUUGUCGUACUCCUCUACCACCAACGAACGAAGAAUGGGCUACAGGAAGAUUCAGCUUGACAAAGACGUCCCCGAUGAGACUACCUUAGUGGACCGGCAAGGAUGCUAAAUUCUCGGACAUAUGGAAUUUCCGGCGCCGAGUAUAAAUAAACCGAAAUAGAAAGGAAAAAUAGAAAUUACUACAUUAAUAAUAUCAUUUAUUUGGAUUUUAUUAUAUACUAAAAAAAAAAUAAAUACUAUAUUUCUAUACUGUAUGUUAAAACAGAAAAAAAGCUCCAAUAUUUAUCCCUGAAAAUGUCAAAUGACUUGUCUAUAUGAAUUUAGAAAAUACUGUAUUGUAUGUCUUUGAGAACUUAUAUAAAUUUAUAAACGAUUGUAUGUCUUUGUGAAUUUCAAGAUAUGUUAUAAUGUUUGUAUGUAAAAGAAGAAAAUAAAGUUAAAUUGUAUCGUCUUUCAAAAGCUUAAAUACAAAAUAUAUUUUGUUUUACUCAUUGGUUGGAUAAAUAUACAAAGAAGUUUUAUCUCUCCACAUACUAACUUGAUACUUAAAAGUAUACAAACCUCACAUUUAAUGUAAGAUUAUUAACUAUUGGUUCAUUGUUCGUUAGUUUAACCUACUCUUAUGUUAAUAAAUUGCUAUUUGAGACCCAUUGUACUUUUAUUCAAGUUUUUGUCACCUCAUUGUAUCAAGAAAAGUAUAGUUUUUGACUUUAAAAAUUUACCAAAUAAAGAAUUGUAAUGUUGUUAGAUAUAAAAAGCAGUUAUCGUAUGGCAAUAACGAUGUUAACCAGGUCUAAAGAUGUCUAAUGUGAUAUUAGACUUGUAUAUUACAAAUAUUGUAUGUGAAUAUAAAUGAUUAUGAUUUAACUGAGACAUUUACACCAGACUCGUAUUUUUUCAGAAUAAGAUGUUGUUCAUCGUAUCAUUGUCACUGGCAGCAGGUUUAACUUCUUUCUUGUUAACAGGUGCAAAUAUCGAUAUUCAAAGGAAAGACAAUCGGGCUGAUGAAACAUGUGAGUGUGGAAAAAGCAUAACACUGUCGUGCACUUUUAGGAAGAACACAUUUGCCAUUGAGUGGAUAUAUGCAAACGAUAUUAAACCGAUAGCAAAAUGUAUAAAACAAGUUUGCAGUUUAAAUCCAGAUUAUGUUGAACAGUACAGUAUUACGUUUGACAUGGCACAGGGCUAUUUUGACUUGACAGUACUAAAGGUAACCAUGGAGCUCAACAGAAAAAUGCUAAUUUGUUCGGAUGGGUCCAAUACUGAUUCUUAUAAAAUGAGUGUCAGAGACUACGAGCCUUACCUGACUGAUGAUAGUAAUACUAGGAGCAUAAAAGCUGCGUCUGGUUGCAUUUCACAAGACACACAAGUUUCCUUCAAAUGGAUAAAGAUUAACAUGUAAGAAAACUGUUGCAGCUGAAAUUAAGACCAGCUUACGCAACAUCCCAAAGAAUGUGGUUUUCCACUUUAAAAGAUUCUCGAAUUCUGAUCAAAGGAUGGAAGAAAGCUACCAGUUCAGGAAGUAAUUCAUCUUGAACCCUAUUAGAGGAUAAAGCAGACUUGUAUGGUGCAAUUCUUCACUAAGGGACAUGCAUCAGUAGAGGUCAUGUCCUUGCCAUUUUGAGGUACAAAAUGCGAUGAUUGAGAGUUGAUGACAUGAAGCAGAUCACAGGAAUUUGAAAGAGGAAAGCUAUGGAAGAUAUGGAGACAAGUUAUAUUAUUUUGUAUAGAACAAUGCCAUGUUUAUGUUCAACGAAUUUAGAAAUUAUUUGGCACAAGUGUAAACAAUAAUAGGAAUACCACUCCUGAAACCCUAACUUAAAGGUCAAGGUCACACUUUCAGCUCAAAGCCUAACUUGGUCUGGUACAGGCUAUAUUUAGUGUCUUGCCACUUUUCAUUGAUCAAGUGAUUUUGAAAUGGGGUGACACAAAUGUUUAUGGCAGAACUGUUAACAAAAAAAGAUGACAUAUCGUUUGAAAAACCCAGAACUCUUCCUUCAAAGUCAAAACUGCAAUUGCAAAACUGCAAACUGCAUCUUAUCUGAUAAUUAUUUCUGAGAAGAAAUACCUCUGCAUAUGUUACAUUGAUCGAAUCAUUGAACAUUUAGAUUUUUUAUUGUGAAUAAAAAUGUGUAUAGUUUAUAUGUUUUUGUCGUUAUUCUUUUUAACCUAACAUAUUCAUUUAUUAUCCAGCAAACGGGAAUUCUGUGUAAUAUCAGAACCAGAAAAGUAACAUCUAAAUUUGUAACAAUGCUUCCAUUAUCUUUCGGACAUUUGACCAGAAAGUGUAUUUUGUUAUGUGCCGCAAUUUUGCAAAACUUGUGAUGAAUUCUCUCAUUAAUUACUCUAAUCAAAGUAUUUGGUGACUAUAGUAAUUACAUUUGAAGAGCUAUAACAUGUUAUGUCCUUAUAUCGUAUGUAUCCAGAUUUAUAAGAACACAAUAAUAGUUGCCACUUUUAUUCCAUGUCAUAGGUAUCACCGGAAGUACAUGUAUAUAUCAUAUUGCAUCUCUUUAUAACCAGAUUGCAGCAAUACAUAUUUAAGUUAUAAUAUAUCAAGUACUGUUAUCUAUUUUACUACAAAGAUUCUCGUGGUACCUGUUUCAGAUUGCUUUACUUCAACCAGUCUUUCGUUUUUGUCAUGUAUGAAAUUUUCGAGCGUAUGAACCAUCUGAGGUUCUGCUUAUGCGCAAAGUUAUCACUGGAAAAAGUAGAAAGGAGCAUCUGAGGCCAUCUUCCAAAAGUAACACUGUAAAAGUGCUAUAUGAUCACAACACAGUCUAACAAUUGUCCUAAAUUAUACUUUAUUUUGAGAAGUACAUAUUCCUUGUUUACACAAUAAUGAAUCUGUAAAUAUAUAUUAAAUAUGGUACUUUGCAAUAUCCCCUGUUUAUAUGAAUCUCUGUGAUCAUACUUAGGUGUGUUACUUUACUGGAUCUGCAACAUCUUUAUAAGGAUA